GUACUUAUUUUUGUUUUUUGUUUUUCAUUUUUUGUUUUGUUUUCGUUUUACUACUCCUUUCUUCAAUUUAAUACCAUUUGGCGGUUGCUUAAAAUUUGUUUUUACGUUUUUGUUGGAGAAAUCGUAAAUGUAGCUUUCGUUUGUCAACGGCGUUUUAUGGUGGCGUUGACCAUUUUACGAAUGCCAGUUUGUCACACGCACAGUUGGUCCGGUUUAUGAACUUUAACAAAGUGGCACUUGCGGUCAAAUCAUUUACAAAUGCUUGAUUAAACUUUGCUCUGAGUUAUGGAUAACUUCCGAAACGCAAGAUUUUUGGAUAAGACAUUUCCGAAGUUCGCUCUUAACGAAUACUCAGUGCCACUGAACAAUGGGUUUCCGCGGGACCUAUGCUAAGAAAGUAAAAUAGUAGGGAAGAACAAAGGACCUCAACAAAUUCCUCCCAGUCAGAUCAGAAUUCGAAAUGGUGUUUGACCCGCAGAUCUUCAGGAUUUUGCGAAGGCAUCGACUAAUGAAAAACUGCCAGUGCGUAUAUAUCGGUAUAUAUCGUCCGUUGAUUUGACAUUAGAAUUAAAGAUUCCCAGCUGCUGUAAGUUUGCCUCUGUGUCUUUUAUUGGCUAUGAAGAAGCA
This is a long non-coding RNA of Anastrepha ludens (Mexican fruit fly), 627 nucleotides long. RefSeq lists it as uncharacterized. The record is from RefSeq and is a predicted model, not a curated record. The transcript is spliced from 3 exons. Lineage: Eukaryota; Metazoa; Arthropoda; Insecta; Diptera; Tephritidae.